Molecule: long non-coding RNA, 1225 nt
Filed under: Triticum aestivum (bread wheat)
Lineage: Eukaryota; Viridiplantae; Streptophyta; Magnoliopsida; Poales; Poaceae
Description: long non-coding RNA (TAES_LNC011397)
Source: RNAcentral
ACAAAUAAAGAAUGUUUAGAAACUCUACUCGGCCACCAAUCUAGAGAUAUAUUAUUUGGGGUAUAUAACACAUGUUUAUAGCUUACCAAAUUGAAGACCAAAAACAUAUACCCGACUUAUAGACCCGUAUAAAGGAAGGCGAGUGAUAGGCGCCGGCGCACCGGCCCAAAUUUGGGCCGGUCGCUGCGCAUCCGUUCGAUUUGUCUUUUUUAACCGUUCGAUUAGCACUACUUCAGCUUUUCUUUCCCCACCAAUCGUCUAAAUAAUCACAGAGCGAGCGCGCAUUGACCCAGCCCUGGUGUGCACAUCCGCCGUCGUACGUCCUUACAAAAAAUUUAACUGUUGCGCAGGCUGCUGUAUCAUCGACGACACUCGCCAUCUCGCCAUCGCCGGCGAGAUUCAACACGGCCUUCCAGCUACGACCAGUGACGACUGCACCUCUCCCACCGACUGGUUCCAGUGCGUGCUCGUCGUGGUCUGCAACAUCUUCAGGGCCGCCGCAUCCAGCUCGCCGCCAUCGGCGUCUUGCACCACCAUUUUCCCAGCAAAAAACCUUGGCAACAAAAACUCUAGUGGUGAUUGAUGGAAGCAAAAAAGAAUAGUGGUUCCAGCAAAAACUAUCGCUAGUUCCAGCAAAAAAUACUCAUCAUCACUGGUUGUAGCAAAAAAUCUAUCUGGUAGCAGCAAACAAAUUUACCGGUUCCAGCAAAACAAAUCAUCGGUGCCAGCAAAACAACUUCGACGGUUGUUUGGUUCCAGCAUAGAUCAAUGUGGUUGCAGCACCACCGGCAGGGGAUGUAGCUUCGCAGGAAACGGAUGCAACACCUCCGGCAGCCGGUUCCAGCACCUCCCGCGUGUUGUCACGGUGCCGCCGGUGACAGUAUGCAGCUUUCACCGGCAACGGAUGCAACUUUCGCCGGGAAGGGAUGCCACUUUCGUCGGGAACGGAUGCAGCUUCGCUCCCAGGCGGUUCCUAGCACCGUCGUCGAUUGGUUGUGGCAUCUCCCCAUGUCAUUGCAGCACCUCUGUUGGGCGGUUCCAGCUCCUCCAUCCCACGGUUGCAGCAUCCGGCCACCGUCAGGAGUUAGCCGGUUGAAGCACCGGUGGCCGUCAUCUCCAGCCGUGCGGGUUGCAAAAGUGUCCAACCUCGCACAACAUCGACGGGGGCGGUUGGCUGCCAGCCCCAUCUCUACCCGAUCUAGAUGAAAAAAAGGCCUGCAAUNNN